Molecule: ribosomal RNA, 459 nt
Filed under: uncultured bacterium
Lineage: Bacteria
Description: partial 16S ribosomal RNA
Rfam family: Bacterial small subunit ribosomal RNA
Source: RNAcentral
CCUACGGGCGGCAGCAGUGAGGAAUAUUGGUCAAUGGACGAGAGUCUGAACCAGCCAAGUAGCGUGAAGGAUGACUGCCCUAUGGGUUGUAAACUUCUUUUAUAUGGGAAUAAAACGUUCCACGUGUGGGAUUUUGUAUGUACCAUAUGAAUAAGGAUCGGCUAACUCCGUGCCAGCAGCCGCGGUAAUACGGAGGAUCCGAGCGUUAUCCGGAUUUAUUGGGGUUAAAGGGAGCGUAGGUGGAUUGUUAAGUCAGUUGUGAAAGUUUGCGGCUCAACCGUAAAAUUGCAGUUGAAACUGGCAGUCUUGAGUACAGUAGGGGUGGGCGGAAUUCGGGGUGUAGCGGUGAAAUGCUUAGAUAUCACGAAGAACUCCGAUUGCGAAGGCAGUUCACUGGACUGCAACUGACACUGAGGCUCGAAAGUGUGGGUAUCAAACAGGAUUAGAUACCCUGUAGUC